RNAcentral lists this long non-coding RNA (713 nucleotides) under Rattus norvegicus (Norway rat). Its description in RNAcentral is "long non-coding RNA NONRATT028357". Lineage: Eukaryota; Metazoa; Chordata; Mammalia; Rodentia; Muridae. The record is from RNAcentral.
ACCAUCUUGGAAUCUGGAACCGGGGACUCUGUCGGUACCGGGACGGGUCUGCGCGGCGCAGCGAGGACGCGGGGUGUCUGGACUCCGCCAUGCCCUGGCAGCCUUCAUCUGGAUGGAGAUAACACGGAAAGAUGCCCAGGUUGAUGGAUGGCCAUGAUGUAGACUUGCGUUUUCCUGGGAAAUCCUCAGGACAUAGUACUUCCAGAAAGUCCGAGGGAGGGAAGAACUCCGUUCCCUGGAAGCUGGAAAUGAAAAGGGCAGGCCUCCCAUGGAUACCAACCAAACACAGAAAAUCAAGUUUCCGUAAGACCAGGUGCUUCCUCUCCUUUUAAGGCUGGAUGAAGCAAUCCAGUAGGAAGAAAAGGUGCUGAAGGCAGGCAGAAGAGUCAGAGACAGCCCCAGCCCUCCAUUAGGAGUCCCACAGGAAGACCUGCUGCACAACUCUGACAUGUGUGCAGAAGGCCCAGGACUUUGAGUUUAUAAUCCCCCUGCCUCCACCUCUGCACUGCCAGGACUAUUCACGGACACCCCUGUUCUCAGCUUUUUGGGCAGCUAGGGAGCAAAUCCAGGAUCCCAUGCCUGGGAGGCAAGUCCUACUCUCCUACAUUUUCAGCCCAGGAACUUUAUUAUUGACUCAUACAUCGUCUACAUAUGUUGCUGUUUCAACAUUGUGUUCUUUAACAUGAAUUAUUUCAUCCAUUCCCCCUUUCUGU